This 332-nucleotide unclassified non-coding RNA is filed under the name soil metagenome. RNAcentral describes it as "partial contains 5.8S ribosomal RNA, internal transcribed spacer 2, and large subunit ribosomal RNA". The stretch from base 1 to 120 matches the Rfam family "5.8S ribosomal RNA", at positions 35 to 154 of the family's 154-position model. The record is from RNAcentral.
GAUGAAGAACGUAGCGAAAAGCGAUAAGUAGUGUGAAUUUCAGAAUUCAGUGAAUCAUCGAAUCUUUGAACGCACAUUGCGCCCUUUGGUAUUCCUUAGGGCAUGCCUGUUCGAGCGUCAUUUAAACCUUCAAGCUAAGCUUGGUGUUGGGUGACUGUCCGCUUCACGGCGGACUCGCCUCAAAAUUAUUGGCGGCCGGUACAUUGGCUUCGAGCGCAGCAGAAACGCGAACUCGGGCCCGUCGUAUUGGCUCCCAGAAGCUAUCUUCACAAUUUUGACCUCGGAUCAGGUAGGGAUACCCGCUGAACUUAAGCAUAUCAAUAAGCGGAGGA